This is a long non-coding RNA of Varroa destructor (honeybee mite), 1399 nucleotides long. Lineage: Eukaryota; Metazoa; Arthropoda; Arachnida; Mesostigmata; Varroidae. The record is from RefSeq and is a predicted model, not a curated record.
ACAAACACAUUAUAUAUACAUAUACUACUAUGGAGGGGAGCUGUCUUUAGUGUAUGAUCAACUUGGAUCAUCAAGGAGCCACGGAACGAUCAAGCUAUGCUUCAGGCUGCAGACAUGGAAUCUUACAUAACGUGGCUAACUUAUGCGAGGUGUACAUAAAGUAUUUCCACCAUUAGUGACUUCCAGAAAAACCUCGGGAGUCGCUGAACACGUUUCAACACUGCCAUCCCCUUCUUGCAGUUAUUUCAUCAGUAAUUCUACCAGACGUAAAUAAUAAAUUCUCAGCGUUUUUGGCCAAUUUGAGAAAUCAACUUCCCACUUCAACGCGAAAAUGCUUGCCUACACUCUCGAAGUUGUGUGGUAACCAAGUGUUGUAAAAGCACACUGCAACGUUCUUAACUGAUAAGGCUGUGUUUUUCUUACACGACUCCUCAACUGGGCAUUCUCAUCCUGCUGCAACCAUCGUUUCGCAAGAAUUUAGAAACUCGUAAUAAAGCACAAUUUUUGGGCUUAUCUGACUUGCGAGUAGACAUGGACUGGGCCUGAGACGCUAACAGAGAAUACGGCCUAGACCCACUGUGCUGUUGUCAAUAGAUGGAUCAUCGUGUGGUAGUGAUAGCGGAUAUCUGUUAGAAUCAAGACAAGAGAUCAUCGCGCGCUUUUCGACUUGUCGAAUCUGUCCAGCUCGUUGUAUCCGCGAGCGUCUGCGUUUUAUUUGUUUAUAAACGGAACUUUAAUAGUUAUCGAACAUCAUUCAGCCAAUAUCAGAACGGACCAUUCAAUGGCGAUUUAUUUUCAAACUGUAGUAUAGAAUAACAUUACACUACAAAAGCUGAAUUGUUAAUUAUUCUAGCGUACUGUUUUAGAACAAAUAUGUAUUACAUAUAUUUGUCAAACUAUUGAGGUUCAUUGUCAGGUAAAUGACGGUCGACCUUAGCGCAAUCUUAAAGAUUAUGGUCAGCUGUUCAGUUUAUAAGCAAUGAAAUCACCAUUAGAUCCUGUAAUGCUAAAGCGAUCCAUGCAAAGUCGGGUCACAAAUUGAGUUAACAAGCUUUCGUACGUUGCUGGCAACCUUCUUAAAUGAACGGACAUUGCUGGAGAUCGAAAGUUUAGAGCUAGAAUGUGUGGUAAAAAACCGCGAGAGGAGUAGCCGAUGCAGGUACCACUUUGAAAUGUACCGCGCGCUGUGUGUCAAAAACAAACUACUACAAACUAAUGAGACAAGUCGAAUUGCAUCAAUGGUGAUUCGACGGCUUUUCUGAUGUCAACAGAGCCAAGUCAAUUUCAGUACUAUGCACAGAUGUACACCCUUGAGACAGCGUGAACGUCUUCGUUAGAGUUAGCCAGGAUUUGGCUACUAGAAGUGCACGCUCGCUCUUUCCACCGACGUAGAUUCUCU